UCACUUGUCUUUUAAAUGGAGACUUGUAUGAAUGGCAAAACCUUUUUUGACUGUCUCCCUCCUUGACCUUCUAAACUUCUACCCGUGUGAAGAAGCGCGGAUGUAAUAGAAAGACGAGAAGACCCUGUCGAGCUUCAGUCUAAAAGUGAACUGGCCCCUAAUUAACCCACUAUCACUAAAAGACUUUGGUUGGGGCAACCAUGGAGAAAAAGAACCCUCCAGAAAGAAUAGAAGAGAGCCCCUCUCUAUUUACUCCCUAAGAGAACCAGAAACUGGUAAACGGAAAAAGUUACCGCAGGGAUAACAGCGUCAUCUCCUUUAAGAGUCCUUAUUGACAAGGAGGUUUGCGACCUCGAUGUUGGAUUGGGGCCCCCUUAGGGUGCAGAAGCUCUAAACGGUCAGACUGUUCGUCUAUUAAAGCCCU
Molecule: ribosomal RNA, 424 nt
Filed under: Holothuria impatiens
Lineage: Eukaryota; Metazoa; Echinodermata; Holothuroidea; Aspidochirotida; Holothuriidae
Description: partial 16S ribosomal RNA
Rfam family: Bacterial large subunit ribosomal RNA
Source: RNAcentral